UACGUAAGGGGCAAGCGUUAUCCGGAUUUACUGGGUGUAAAGGGAGCGUAGACGGAGAGGCAAGUCUGAUGUGAAAGGCAUGGGCUCAACCUGUGGACUGCAUUGGAAACUGUUUUUCUAGAGUGCCGGAGAGGCAGGCGGAAUUCCUAGUGUAGCGGUGAAAUGCGUAGAUAUUAGGAGGAACACCAGUGGCGAAGGCGGCCUGCUGGACGGUAACUGACGUUGAGGCUCGAAAGCGUGGGGAGCAAACAGG
Molecule: ribosomal RNA, 253 nt
Filed under: uncultured bacterium
Lineage: Bacteria
Description: partial 16S ribosomal RNA
Rfam family: Bacterial small subunit ribosomal RNA
Source: RNAcentral